Molecule: ribosomal RNA, 447 nt
Filed under: uncultured bacterium
Lineage: Bacteria
Description: bacterial SSU rRNA
Rfam family: Bacterial small subunit ribosomal RNA
Source: RNAcentral
UCGGGAAUUUUGGGCAAUGGGCGAAAGCCUGACCCAGCAACGCCGCGUGAAGGAUGAAGUAUUUCGGUAUGUAAACUUCGAAAGAAUAGGGAGAAUAAAUGACGGUACUAUUUAUAAGGUCCGGCUAACUACGUGCCAGCAGCCGCGGUAAUACGUAGGGAGCAAGCGUUGUUCGGAUUUACUGGGCGUAAAGGGCGCGUAGGCGGCGCGGUAAGUCACUUGUGAAAUCUCUGGGCUUAACCCAGAACGGCCAAGUGAUACUGUCGCGCUAGAGUGCAGAAGGGGCAAUCGGAAUUCUUGGUGUAGCGGUGAAAUGCGUAGAUAUCAAGAGGAACACCUGAGGUGAAGACGGGUUGCUGGGCUGACACUGACGCUGAGGCGCGAAAGCCAGGGGAGCAAACGGGAUUAGAUACCCACGUAGUCCCUGAGCGGGCUGGCAAGGCGCAU